This 351-nucleotide unclassified non-coding RNA is filed under the name soil metagenome. Its description in RNAcentral is "partial contains 5.8S ribosomal RNA, internal transcribed spacer 2, and large subunit ribosomal RNA". The stretch from base 1 to 120 matches the Rfam family "5.8S ribosomal RNA", at positions 35 to 154 of the family's 154-position model. The record is from RNAcentral.
GAUGAAGAACGCAGCGAAACGCGAUAUGUAAUGUGAAUUGCAGAAUUCAGUGAAUCAUCGAAUCUUUGAACGCACAUGGCGCCUUCCAGUAUCCUGGGAGGCAUGCCUUUCCGAGCGUCGUUUCAACCCUCGAGCCCCCGUGGCCCGGCGUUGGGGAUCUGCCACGGCAGGCCCCUAAAACCAGUGGCGGACCCGAAGGCCCUCUCCUUUGCGCAGUAGCAUCAGCCUCGCAUUGGGAUCCCUCGGCGUCCUGCCUCUAAACCCCCCACAAGUCCGCUCCGGCGGCACCAAGGUUGACCUCGGAUCAGGUAGGAAUACCCGCUGAACUUAAGCAUAUCAAUAAGCGGAGGA